AGGAUCCGAGCGUUAUCCGGAAUUAUUGGGGGUUUAAAGGGGGUCCGUAGGCGGGAUAAUCAGUCAGUGGUGAAAGUUUGUGGCUCAACCAUAAAAUUGCCAUUGAUACUGUUAUUCUUGAGUUAUUGUGAAGUGGUUAGAAUGUGUAGUGUAGCGGUGAAAUGCAUAGAUAUUACACAGAAUACCAAUUGCGAAGGCAG
Molecule: ribosomal RNA, 200 nt
Filed under: uncultured eukaryote
Lineage: Eukaryota
Description: partial 18S ribosomal RNA
Rfam family: Bacterial small subunit ribosomal RNA
Source: RNAcentral